Molecule: unclassified non-coding RNA, 157 nt
Filed under: uncultured Ascomycota
Lineage: Eukaryota; Fungi; Ascomycota
Description: sequence contains ITS1
Source: RNAcentral
CAGAGUUUUCCAAACUCCCAAACCCAUGUGAACUUACCACUUGUUGCCUCGGCGGAGCUACCCUGUAGUUACCCUGUAGCUACCCUGUAGUGCCGCCGGCGGACCUCCAAAACUCUUGUUAUUUUGAGUCAUCUGAGCGUCUUAUGUAAAUAAGUCA